RNAcentral lists this transfer-messenger RNA (188 nucleotides) under Klebsiella pneumoniae. RNAcentral describes it as "partial transfer-messenger RNA". It matches the Rfam family "transfer-messenger RNA", at positions 179 to 374 of the family's 374-position model. Rfam says of the family: Bacterial tmRNA, also known as 10Sa RNA or SsrA, is named for its dual tRNA and mRNA-like properties. Its role is to liberate the mRNA from a stalled ribosome. Lineage: Bacteria; Pseudomonadati; Pseudomonadota; Gammaproteobacteria; Enterobacterales; Enterobacteriaceae. The record is from RNAcentral.
AGAGAGGUCAAACCCAAAAGAGAUCGCGUGGAUGCCCUGCCUGGGGUUGAAGCGUUAAAUCUAAUCAGGCUAGUUUGUUAGUGGCGUGUCUGUCCGCAGCUGGCAAGCGAAUGUAAAGACUGACUAAGCAUGUAGUGCCGAGGAUGUAGGAAUUUCGGACGCGGGUUCAACUCCCGCCAGCUCCACCA